CGUAGGACGCAAGCGUUAUCCGGAGUUACUGGGCGUAAAGCGCGGGCAGGCGGUCGCUUAAGUCUGAUGUGAAAUCUCCCGGCUCAACCGGGAGCAGCCAUUGGAAACUAGGCGACUGGAGUCUGACAGAGGUAGGCGGAAUUCCGGGUGGAGUGGUGAAAUGCGUAGAGAUCCGGAGGAACACCAGAGGCGAAGGCGGCCUACUGGGUCAGUACUGACGCUGAGCCGCGAAAGCCAGGGGAGCGAACGGGAUUAGAAACCCCGGUAGUCCUGGCCGUAAACGAUGUGUGCUGGGUGGUGGGGGGUCUCCCUUCACUGCCGAAGCCAACGCGAUAAGCACACCGCCUGGGGAGUACGGUCGCAAGGCUA
Molecule: ribosomal RNA, 369 nt
Filed under: uncultured organism
Description: bacterial SSU rRNA
Rfam family: Bacterial small subunit ribosomal RNA
Source: RNAcentral